AUACUCCUGACUGACCGAUAGUGAACCAGUACCGUGAGGGAAAGGCGAAAAGAACCCCGGCGAGGGGAGUGAAAAAGAACCUGAAACCGUGUACGUACAAGCAGUGGGAGCACCCUUUGGGGUGUGACUGCGUACCUUUUGUAUAAUGGGUCAGCGACUUAUAUUCUGUAGCAAGGUUAACCGAAUAGGGGAGCCGGAGGGAAACCGAGUCUUAACCGGGCGUUAAGUUGCAGGGUAUAGACCCGAAACCCGGUGAUCUAGCCAUGGGCAGGUUGAAGGUUGGGUAACACUAACUGGAGGACCGAACCGACUAAUGUUGAAAAAUUAGCGGAUGACCUGUGGCUGGGGGUGAAAGGCCAAUCAAACCGGGAGAUAGCUGGUUCUCCCCGAAAGCUAUUUAGGUAGCGCCUCGUGAAUUCAUCUCCGGGGGUAGAGCACUGUUUCGGCUAGGGGGCCAUCCCGGCUUACCAACCCGAUGCAAACUGCGAAUACCGGAGAAUGUUAUCACGGGAGACACACGGCGGGUGCUAACGUCCGUCGUGAAGAGGGAAACAACCCAGACCGCCAGCUAAGGUCCCAAAGUCAUGGUUAAGUGGGAAACGAUGUGGGAAGGCCCAGACAGCCAGGAUGUUGGCUUAGAAGCAGCCAUCAUUUAAAGAAAGCGUAAUAGCUCACUGGUCGAGUCGGCCUGCGCGGAAGAUGUAACGGGGCUAAACCAUGCACCGAAGCUGCGGCAGCGACACUCAGGUGUCGUUGGGUAGGGGAGCGUUCUGUAAGCCUGCGAAGGUGGCCUGUGAGGGUUGCUGGAGGUAUCAGAAGUGCGAAUGCUGACAUA
Molecule: ribosomal RNA, 835 nt
Filed under: Salmonella enterica
Lineage: Bacteria; Pseudomonadati; Pseudomonadota; Gammaproteobacteria; Enterobacterales; Enterobacteriaceae
Description: partial 23S ribosomal RNA
Rfam family: Bacterial large subunit ribosomal RNA
Source: RNAcentral